This 105-nucleotide small nuclear RNA is filed under the name Microtus ochrogaster (prairie vole). The record is from RNAcentral. Lineage: Eukaryota; Metazoa; Chordata; Mammalia; Rodentia; Cricetidae.
GCAGCAGCAAAACAUACAUAUACUAAAAUUAAAGCCAUAUAGGGAAGAUUGGCAUGGCCUCUCUGAAAAGAUGACAAGCAAAUUUGUGAAGCAUUCCUUAUUUCC